RNAcentral lists this ribosomal RNA (399 nucleotides) under uncultured bacterium. RNAcentral describes it as "bacterial SSU rRNA". It matches the Rfam family "Bacterial small subunit ribosomal RNA", at positions 359 to 759 of the family's 1533-position model. The record is from RNAcentral.
GAUUGACUUGGGGGCACCCUGACCGCAAUGCCGCGUGAGUGACGAAGGCCUUCGGGUCGUAAAGCUCUUUUGGUGGGGAAGAAUGCCCUGUCUUUAAAACGAUAGGGCCUGACGGUACCCGCAGAAAAAGCACCGGCUAACUCCGUGCCAGCAGCCGCGGUAAUACGGAGGGUGCAAGCGUUGUUCGGAAUCAUUGGGCGUAAAGCGCGUGUAGGCGGCUAUCUAAGUCUGGUGUGAAAGCCCGGGGCUCAACCCCGGAAGUGCACUGGAUACUGGAUGGCUAGAGGACGAGAAAGGAUAGUGGAAUUCCUGGUGUAGGGGUGAAAUCCGUAGAUAUCAGGAGGAACAUCAGUGGCGAAGGCGGCUAUCUGGCUCGUUUCUGACGCUGAGACGCGAAAG